Molecule: ribosomal RNA, 887 nt
Filed under: Escherichia coli
Lineage: Bacteria; Pseudomonadati; Pseudomonadota; Gammaproteobacteria; Enterobacterales; Enterobacteriaceae
Description: partial 23S ribosomal RNA
Rfam family: Bacterial large subunit ribosomal RNA
Source: RNAcentral
UGUAUAAUGGGUCAGCGACUUAUAUUCUGUAGCAAGGUUAACCGAAUAGGGGAGCCGAAGGGAAACCGAGUCUUAACUGGGCGUUAAGUUGCAGGGUAUAGACCCGAAACCCGGUGAUCUAGCCAUGGGCAGGUUGAAGGUUGGGUAACACUAACUGGAGGACCGAACCGACUAAUGUUGAAAAAUUAGCGGAUGACUUGUGGCUGGGGGUGAAAGGCCAAUCAAACCGGGAGAUAGCUGGUUCUCCCCGAAAGCUAUUUAGGUAGCGCCUCGUGAAUUCAUCUCCGGGGGUAGAGCACUGUUUCGGCAAGGGGGUCAUCCCGACUUACCAACCCGAUGCAAACUGCGAAUACCGGAGAAUGUUAUCACGGGAGACACACGGCGGGUGCUAACGUCCGUCGUGAAGAGGGAAACAACCCAGACCGCCAGCUAAGGUCCCAAAGUCAUGGUUAAGUGGGAAACGAUGUGGGAAGGCCCAGACAGCCAGGAUGUUGGCUUAGAAGCAGCCAUCAUUUAAAGAAAGCGUAAUAGCUCACUGGUCGAGUCGGCCUGCGCGGAAGAUGUAACGGGGCUAAACCAUGCACCGAAGCUGCGGCAGCGACACUAUGUGUUGUUGGGUAGGGGAGCGUUCUGUAAGCCUGUGAAGGUGGCCUGUGAGGGUUGCUGGAGGUAUCAGAAGUGCGAAUGCUGACAUAAGUAACGAUAAAGCGGGUGAAAAGCCCGCUCGCCGGAAGACCAAGGGUUCCUGUCCAACGUUAAUCGGGGCAGGGUGAGUCGACCCCUAAGGCGAGGCCGAAAGGCGUAGUCGAUGGGAAACAGGUUAAUAUUCCUGUACUUGGUGUUACUGCGAAGGGGGGACGGAGAAGGCUAUGUUGGCCGGGCGACGG